RNAcentral lists this transfer RNA (95 nucleotides) under Rhizoctonia solani. RNAcentral's name for it is "tRNA-Tyr". It matches the Rfam family "tRNA". From Rfam's summary of the family: Transfer RNA (tRNA) molecules are approximately 80 nucleotides in length. Their secondary structure includes four short double-helical elements and three loops (D, anti-codon, and T loops). Lineage: Eukaryota; Fungi; Basidiomycota; Agaricomycetes; Cantharellales; Ceratobasidiaceae. The record is from RNAcentral.
CCCUUGGUAGCUCAGCUGGAAGAGCGUGAGACUGUAAUGGCUAAUUACAUAAUUACGUAAUCUCAAGGCCACUGGUUCGAUCCCGGUCCGAGGGA